UUCAACUUCUUCACGCUCUCCUUCCUUUCCCCAACGAACUCGCGGCGACGGUGAAGGCACGGUGGAGAAUCUUUCUUCUCCGAUCAGACACGCAACAUCGUCCGGCCACUCUACCUCAUUCUCAGUCUCCGAUUAGGAGUUUCGAUAGGUCCUCUCCUCUCUCCCUCGCGAAGUCGCAGACGUGAAACGGCGGCGGCUAUCUCUCCCUCUCCGGCGAUACUCGCAGCGCCCCCGCGAUGACAACGCCACGAUGGUCUUCUCACACUUUUCUUCCCGAGAUGAUGAUGAUGAUGAUGAUGAUGAGAGAUGCAGCGUAUGCGAUUGAAGCAUGAAUUCAGCGAGAUUGAAGAAGCGAAGGAUGAAGAUUCAAGAGCGAAUCAUUCUGAGUUUGUUACAGAUUGAAUAGGAGUUUCAAGAAUAGAGAGUGGAGGAGAAUUGAAGGUGUCGAGAGAUGAUUGAGAAGUAAUGGUGAAGAUGAUGAAUAUUCUGAGAGGAAGCAGAGCAAUGGUGAAGGAUGAGAUGAGGGGAGGAGAAGAUGGUGUCUAAAAAACUGAAAUGGUGGCUGAUUGCAGGUUAUAUAGAGAGUCAUUUGAAGGCGUGGAUGUCAAACUAAUUCACUGAUAAUUUAUGGCCAGAAUUCCUGUUGCAAACUGGUUCGGUUUCGAGUGUCUUGAAAAGAUCUGAACUGGUUUGCAGGGCUGGCGGUGCAGUUUGGUUUACCGAAAUGGUUUGGAACUGUUUGCAGGUUCAAAUGGUGAUGUUAAGCUGCAUGGUCCUUUUUUUUUGAAGCAAAGUGAGUGAGGUUUUGUAGCAGGGCAGCAUAUUGAAUGGACAUUGAUAGCAUGAAGAAUUUCAAGAGAAGGGCACUAUAGGCUUUGAUUAUUAUUUUAUUUUUUGGCAUACUCUUGUGUAAUCUUGUAAAGAAUUUGAAUGGUGUAAUGGAUGAUGGAUUUUUGUAUUUGAUUUGUGAUAAACUUGAAUGGA
Vicia villosa (hairy vetch) is the source of this 984-nucleotide long non-coding RNA. RefSeq lists it as uncharacterized. The record is from RefSeq and is a predicted model, not a curated record. NCBI's taxonomy places the organism in Eukaryota, Viridiplantae, Streptophyta, Magnoliopsida, Fabales, Fabaceae. The transcript has 5 exons.